AAUUUUGCUGUCGGAAGUGAAGGGAAUUUAAUUUCUGCGUAUGCUGUGGUACGGGGUGUUGUUUUGAAAGGAUGGCGGCUGUUGCAUGUUUACAGCUAAAUUUGAAUGCUAUUUUAAAAAAAGUGUCCUCUGAAAAGCUUUUAAAUAUGCUAAAUUCCAUUGAGGGUAAAAAAGAUCUUGUGCUUGAUAAAGAGUUAAUUUCUUCUUUGGAGUAUAUAGUAAAUUUCAGUCAGUUAAAGACGUGUGAAGUAGAAAAAGUAUAUAAAUUAGAACCUGGAUCCACUCCUGGAAACACUCCACAAUGUGUAUAUAUUAUCAGACCAAGCAUUCAAAAGACACAAGUAAUUUCUGAUCAUAUUAAUGCUGGCCUUAGCAUAGGGAAUGUGAAAAAAUAUUGCAUUAUCUUUGUACCCAGAAUGCUGUAUAAAUGUGAGAAGGUCCUUGAAAGAGAAGGUGUGUAUGGAAAUGCUACUUUGUUGGAUUUUCCUCUUGGAUUUUUACCCAUAGAUAAAGAUCUAUUUUCUCUUGAAAUUUCUGACUUUUACAGAAUGUUUUAUUUGAAGAAUGAUCUCACUUACAUACAUACGGCAGCAAUGUCUUUAGUACAGUUGUGCAAGAUUUGUGGGUCUAUAACCAAAAUAUCUGGCCAAGGAAAGUGUGCCAAGAUGGUUGUUGAUAUGAUGAAUCUCAUGAUGAAAGAAUUAAAAUGUGAACCUCCUAGCUCUGACAGUGUAUCCCAUUUAAUUGUGUUAGACAGAGAUAUAGAUUAUAUUUCUGUACUUCUGUCACAACUGACAUAUGAAGGUCUGUUGGAUGAGACUUUCAGGAUCAAUAAUGGUCGUGUGGUAUUUCCCCAAGAAGUUUCUGGAAAAGAUGAAGCUGUGAAAGUUGUUCUUAAUAGCAGUGAUUUGGUUUUUGAAGAAAUAAGAAAUUCAUAUUUUACUAGUGUAUUUGGUUUUCUUCGUGAUAAAGCAAAACAACUUCAAGCUCAACGUGAAAUUACAAAUAUGUCACUUAGUGACAUUAAGCAAUUCGUAACCAAGGAAAUGAAGAGCAUUUGUCAACAGCAAACUUCAUUAUCACUACACAUUAGGGCAUGUGAAGUAAUCUUAGAAGAAAAGAAUGCAGAAGAUUUUCAUAAAAGACUGGGCAUUGAAAGGGACAUCAUUGAAAACCAGAAUAUAAGUGAAUGUAUGAAUUACAUAGAGGAUAUUAUUAAUAAGCAGGAUUCCUACAAAAGUGCCUUAAGAUUAAUAUGCCUAUUAUCCAUUGCUCAAAAUGGGUUACCUUCUUCUGAUUACAGUUCUUUAAUGACACAGUUUCGGCAGAGUUAUGGCUGUAAAUAUAUAGUAACUUUUCACAACUUGGAGAAGACUGGUUUGGUAGUGGAACAAGCAUCUUUGUUACCACCUGGUAAAAUUCCAGAAAAAGGAGCCACUGCCAAAGCUACUAAAAUAGUAGAAAAAGUUGCAACUGCUGUAUCAUUUCCAAGAUAUAGUAAUUUUAAAGCAGUUGUAAGGAAAUUUAAUUUGAUCCCAGCAGAAUCUGAUUCAUCUGAUAUAAAAAACCCAAAAGAUAUGAGUUAUGUUUUUGGGGGAGCAUAUGUGCCUUUAAUUGGAAGAAUAACAGAACAAGUCAUAAAAUAUGGUGGUCUCCACAACCUUGAAGAUGGUUUGAAACUUCUUCCUGGUUCUACAAUAAUGAAUUUCAAAAAAGGUCUAAUAUCUUUUAUUUAAAAAAAAUUUGAAAGUAUAAAGCAAGAAAAAGAUCUUUCAUCAAAAACUGUUAUUGUUUAUGUUUUGGGUGGCAUUACUUAUGCUGAAGUAGCAGCAUUGCGACUUCUGGGGCAAUUAAAUGGCUGCAGAAUAUUUAUAGCAAC
RNAcentral lists this unclassified non-coding RNA (1879 nucleotides) under Stegodyphus dumicola. RNAcentral describes it as "vacuolar protein sorting-associated protein 33B-like, transcript variant X2". The record is from RNAcentral. Lineage: Eukaryota; Metazoa; Arthropoda; Arachnida; Araneae; Eresidae.